GUUUAUCAAAAACAUGUCUUUUAGAAUUUAAUUUAAAGUCUAACCUGCCCACUGAAUUUUAAAUGGCCGCAGUAUUUUAACUGUGCAAAGGUAGCAUAAUCAUUAGUCUUUUAAUUGAAGGCUGGAAUGAAUGGUUGGAUGAGAUAUUAACUGUUUCAUAAAAAUUUUUAAUAGAAUUUUAUUUUUUAGUUAAAAAGCUAAAAUUUCAUUAAAAGACGAGAAGACCCUAUAAAUCUUUAUAUUUUAUUGGGGUGAUAUUAAAAUUUAAUUAACUUUUAAUUUAUUUUUUACAUAAAUUAAUGAAUUAUUGAUCCGUUAUUUACGAUUAAAAAUUUAAGUUACUUUAGGGAUAACAGCGUAAUUUUUUUAGAGAGUUCAUAUUGAUAAAAAAGAUUGCGACCUCGAU
RNAcentral lists this ribosomal RNA (406 nucleotides) under Apocephalus guapilensis. RNAcentral describes it as "partial 16S ribosomal RNA". It matches the Rfam family "Bacterial large subunit ribosomal RNA", at positions 1802 to 2530 of the family's 2925-position model. The record is from RNAcentral. Lineage: Eukaryota; Metazoa; Arthropoda; Insecta; Diptera; Phoridae.